UAAACAACAGGUUUGGUCCCGGCCUUUUUAUUAGCUGUCUGCAGGAUUAUACAUGCAAAAAUCCCUACACCGGUGAGAAUGCCCUAUGUACCACACUCAGGUUUAAAGGAGCAGACAUCAAGCACACUGCUAAGUAGCUCACGACGUCUUGCUUUGCCACACCCCCACGGGAAACAGCAGUAAUAAAAAUUAAGCAAUAAACGAAAGUUUGACUAAGUUAUGCAGCAAUUAGGGUUGGUAAAUCUCGUGCCAGCCACCGCGGUCAUACGAUUGACCCUAGUUAAUAAACCCCGGCGUAAAAAGUGUUUUGGAAAUAUAAAAAAUAAGGCUAAUCUUUGUCUAAGUUGUAGAAAACUCUAGACAUGGUAGAAAUCAUAAACGAAAGUAGCUUUAAUAAGUCCGACACACGAAAGCUAAGGCCCAAACUGGGAUUAGAUACCCCACUAUGCUUAGCCAUAAACAUAAAAACUUAUACAACAAAAGAUUUCGCCAGAGAACUACUAGCAAUAGCUUAAAACUCAAAGGACUUGGCGGUGCUUUAUACCCACCUAGAGGAGCCUGUUCUAUAAUCGAUAAACCCCGAUACACCUCACCUCUCCUUGCUAAUUCAGCCUAUAUACCGCCAUCUUCAGCCAACCCCAUUAUGGAAACAAAGUGAGCGCAAGUACACUACAUAAAAACGUUAGGUCAAGGUGUAGCCAAUGGAGUGGGAAGAAAUGGGCUACAUUUUCUUACCCAAGAACAUUAAACGCAAAUCUUUAUGAAAUUCAAAGAUCUAAGGAGGAUUUAGUAGUAAAUUAAGAAUAGAGAGCUUGAUUGAACUAGGCCAUGAAGCACGUACACACCGCCCGUCACCCUCCUCAAGUAUCCAAGGGUUUUGUACAAACUAAUAAAUAUUAGAGGAGACAAGUCGUAACAAGGUAAGCAUACUGGAAAGUGUGCUUGGAAACAAAGUGUA
Cavia porcellus (domestic guinea pig) is the source of this 958-nucleotide non-coding RNA. Lineage: Eukaryota; Metazoa; Chordata; Mammalia; Rodentia; Caviidae. The record is from Rfam.